RNAcentral lists this ribosomal RNA (1428 nucleotides) under Salmonella enterica. Its description in RNAcentral is "bacterial SSU rRNA". It matches the Rfam family "Bacterial small subunit ribosomal RNA". Lineage: Bacteria; Pseudomonadati; Pseudomonadota; Gammaproteobacteria; Enterobacterales; Enterobacteriaceae. The record is from RNAcentral.
GAGUAAUGUCUGGGAAACUGCCUGAUGGAGGGGGAUAACUACUGGAAACGGUGGCUAAUACCGCAUAACGUCGCAAGACCAAAGAGGGGGACCUUCGGGCCUCUUGCCAUCAGAUGUGCCCAGAUGGGAUUAGCUUGUUGGUGAGGUAACGGCUCACCAAGGCGACGAUCCCUAGCUGGUCUGAGAGGAUGACCAGCCACACUGGAACUGAGACACGGUCCAGACUCCUACGGGAGGCAGCAGUGGGGAAUAUUGCACAAUGGGCGCAAGCCUGAUGCAGCCAUGCCGCGUGUAUGAAGAAGGCCUUCGGGUUGUAAAGUACUUUCAGCGGGGAGGAAGGUGUUGCGGUUAAUAACCGCAGCAAUUGACGUUACCCGCAGAAGAAGCACCGGCUAACUCCGUGCCAGCAGCCGCGGUAAUACGGAGGGUGCAAGCGUUAAUCGGAAUUACUGGGCGUAAAGCGCACGCAGGCGGUCUGUCAAGUCGGAUGUGAAAUCCCCGGGCUCAACCUGGGAACUGCAUUCGAAACUGGCAGGCUUGAGUCUUGUAGAGGGGGGUAGAAUUCCAGGUGUAGCGGUGAAAUGCGUAGAGAUCUGGAGGAAUACCGGUGGCGAAGGCGGCCCCCUGGACAAAGACUGACGCUCAGGUGCGAAAGCGUGGGGAGCAAACAGGAUUAGAUACCCUGGUAGUCCACGCCGUAAACGAUGUCUACUUGGAGGUUGUGCCCUUGAGGCGUGGCUUCCGGAGCUAACGCGUUAAGUAGACCGCCUGGGGAGUACGGCCGCAAGGUUAAAACUCAAAUGAAUUGACGGGGGCCCGCACAAGCGGUGGAGCAUGUGGUUUAAUUCGAUGCAACGCGAAGAACCUUACCUGGUCUUGACAUCCACAGAAGAAUCCAGAGAUGGAUUUGUGCCUUCGGGAACUGUGAGACAGGUGCUGCAUGGCUGUCGUCAGCUCGUGUUGUGAAAUGUUGGGUUAAGUCCCGCAACGAGCGCAACCCUUAUCCUUUGUUGCCAGCGAUUAGGUCGGGAACUCAAAGGAGACUGCCAGUGAUAAACUGGAGGAAGGUGGGGAUGACGUCAAGUCAUCAUGGCCCUUACGACCAGGGCUACACACGUGCUACAAUGGCGCAUACAAAGAGAAGCGACCUCGCGAGAGCAAGCGGACCUCAUAAAGUGCGUCGUAGUCCGGAUUGGAGUCUGCAACUCGACUCCAUGAAGUCGGAAUCGCUAGUAAUCGUGGAUCAGAAUGCCACGGUGAAUACGUUCCCGGGCCUUGUACACACCGCCCGUCACACCAUGGGAGUGGGUUGCAAAAGAAGUAGGUAGCUUAACCUUCGGGAGGGCGCUUACCACUUUGUGAUUCAUGACUGGGGUGAAGUCGUAACAAGGUAACCGUAGGGGAACCUGCGGUUGGAUCACCUCCUUA